RNAcentral lists this ribosomal RNA (497 nucleotides) under uncultured bacterium. Its description in RNAcentral is "partial 16S ribosomal RNA". It matches the Rfam family "Bacterial small subunit ribosomal RNA", at positions 28 to 507 of the family's 1533-position model. The record is from RNAcentral.
GAUGAACGCUGGCGGCGUGCCUAAUACAUGCAAGUCGAGCGAAAGGACGCGAAGCUUGCUUCUCUGAUGUUAGCGGCGGACGGGUGUGUAACACGUGGAUAACCUCCCUAUCAGUCUGGGAUAAUUUCGGGAAACCGGAGCUAAUCCCGGAUAAUAUUUUGAUCCGCAUGGUUCAAAAGUGAAAGUCGGUCUUUCUGUAAGUACUAGCUGGUUCCGGGCUGCAUUAGCUAGUUGGUAAGGUAACGGCUUAUCAAGGCUACUAUGCAUAGCCGACGUGAUGGGGUGAUCGGCGACACGGGAAGGGGACCGGGGUCCAUGCGACUACGAGAGGCACCAGAAGGGAAUCUGACGCAGUGGUCGAAAGCCUGGCGGAGCAGCGCCGCGUGAGAUAUGGAGGUCUUCGGAGCGUAAAACUCUGUUAUUAGGUAAGAACAUAUGUGUAAGUAACUGUGCACAGCUUGACGGUAACUAAUCAGAAAGCCACGGCUAACUACGUG